RNAcentral lists this ribosomal RNA (1424 nucleotides) under metagenome. RNAcentral describes it as "bacterial SSU rRNA". It matches the Rfam family "Bacterial small subunit ribosomal RNA". The record is from RNAcentral.
UAAAGUGGCGAACGGGUGAGUAGCACGUGGAUAAUCUGCCCGCACAUCUGGGAUAACCCUUCGAAAGGAGGCUUAAUACCGGGUAAUAUUCUUGGGCGGCAUCGCUCGGGAAUCAUAGGCGGGGUAACCUGCCGUGUACGGAUGAGUCCGCGCCUCUUUAGCUAGUUGGCGGGGUAACGGCCCACCAAGGCGACGAUGAGUAGCCGACCUGAGAGGGUGAUCGGCCACACUGGGACUGAGAUACGGCCCAGACUCCUACGGGAGGCAGCAGUAGGGAAUAUUGCGCAAUGGACGAAAGUCUGACGCAGCAACGCCGCGUGGGCGAUGAAGUUUUUCGGAAUGUAAAACCCUGUCGGUGGGGAAGAAACGCACGAUUAGUAACUGAUUCGUGCCUGACGGUACCCACAAAGGAAGUCCCGGCUAACUCCGUGCCAGCAGCCGCGGUAAUACGGGGGGGACAAGCGUUGUUCGGAUUUACUGGGCGUAAAGGGCGCGUAGGCGGACCUUCAAGUCGGGUGUGAAACCCCCGGGCUUAACCCGGGGUCUGCAUUUGAUACUGUCGGUCUUGAGUACAGGAGAGGAGAGUGGAAUUCCAGGUGUAGCGGUGAAAUGCGUAGAUAUCUGGAAGAACACCAGUAGCGAAGGCGGCUCUCUGGACUGAUACUGACGCUCAAGCGCGAAGGCUUGGGGAGCAAACAGGAUUAGAUACCCUGGUAGUCCAAGCGGUAAACUAUGGGUACUAGGUGUCGGGGGUAUCGACCCCCUCGGUGCCGCAGUUAACACAAUAAGUACCCCGCCUGGGGAGUACGAUCGCAAGAUUGAAACUCAAAGAAAUUGACGGGGACCCGCACAAGCGGUGGAGUAUGUGGUUUAAUUCGAAUCAACGCGCAGAACCUUACCUGGGUUUGACAUGCACGAGACCGUCGGUGAAAGCCGGCUUCCUCUUCGGAGGUUCGUGCACAGGUGCUGCAUGGCUGUCGUCAGCUCGUGCCGUGAGGUGUUGGGUUAAGUCCCGCAACGAGCGCAACCCCCGUGUAUAGUUGCCAUCAGGUUAUGCUGGGCACUCUAUAGAGACUGCCGGUGAUAAGCCGGAGGAAGGCGGGGAUGACGUCAAGUCCUCAUGGCCCUUACACCCAGGGCCACACACGUACUACAAUGGCCGGUACAGAAGGUCGCAAUGCCGCAAGGUGGAGCCAAUCCCCAAAACCGGCCUCAGUUCAGAUUGGAGUCUGCAACUCGACUCCAUGAAGGCGGAAUCGCUAGUAAUCGCUGAUCAGCAGGCAGCGGUGAAUACGUUCCCGGGUCUUGUACACACCGCCCGUCAAGCCACGGAAGUUGGGAGCACCCGAAGUCGUUUGUCUAACCGCAAGGAGGACGACGCCUAAGGUGAAACUGACAACUGGGGCUAAGUAAGUAACAAGGUA